Molecule: long non-coding RNA, 2215 nt
Organism: Leopardus geoffroyi (Geoffroy's cat)
Lineage: Eukaryota; Metazoa; Chordata; Mammalia; Carnivora; Felidae
Exons: 2
Source: RefSeq, a predicted model, not a curated record
CUGCUGGCUGCCCUCCUCGACCUUGGGGCUCCCUGCCCCUCAGCCCUCCGUGGCAAGGAGUUCCCGGCCCCCUGGGAGACAGAGUGACAAAGUUGCCAGGGCACAGUGAGCAGGCUUCUGGAAUCCCCCAGACCUCCAUCGCAUUGUCUACAGCUUCUUGGCAGCGGGAAGGGCCCCUUCCGUGCGGGGGAGGGAGUCUGAGCCGGGCGCUGGGGGCGCCCCCAGCGGGGCCGCCCUCGGUGCUGGUGAGGACUCUGGAAGGUGAGCACGGAGCAGGUCCUGAGACACCCCCCCCCCCGCCACUCCUGGGAACGUGAUGGAGGCAGAGGGCCGUGUGUGGGGAGGACCCAGGGACCAGGAUGCCCGGAGCGGGCAGAGGCCAGAGCCCGUUGGCGACCUGGGUACUUGGUGACCCUUGAGGCCCGGCCCCGCCUGCACUUCCUGCUGGGAACAAGCACGUCCAAUCAGGCCACGCUGCAGGGCGGCCGCUCGCUCGGGUCUGUCACCAGCCACUGGCAUCCCUCGGGAGAACCCCCACCGCCCGGGCCGUAGGAGCGGCCUGCCCUCGGCUCCAGGAAAAAAGGAGAUGGACGGACAAGCAGGAGGCUGUGCUGUACCUUGUCCUGUCCACGGCACCCACACAGAACAGCGUCCCUCCUCCGGAAAACAGGCAUGGAAUCGGCGUUACCGCUCGGUGAACGCGUGUUAAGCAGAGCACAGGUGCUAGACGAGGAGCCACGGCCACCGACCGGCCACAGAGGAAGUGAAGGAGGGACGUGUGCACUCACAGGUGCCGGAGGAAGUGCCAGGACACGGGGAGACCGUUGACCACAAGGCUUCCGGGAGUCAGGUCGGGGCUCUGUGGCUGCCACCCGGGCGCUGUGCUGGCGGGAGGGGCUCGCACGUACGGCCCCCAGGCCCCACGGCCGAAGCCCGAAGUUCCGCCCCUUCCUGGAGGGAUUUGGGGAGAGAGGCACCACCCCCGGUCUCUGCCCCGGGAGCGCACUCACCGGGGCGCAGCUGGUCGCCCGCAGGUGGACGUGGGCGUCGAAGCCCCCGGUCCUCGGGCGGGAGCCAGCCCGGCACCUGCAGCCCCGCCCCGCGUGCAGGCAGGUGGGGGCAGGGCUUCCUCCCUGCACUUGUCUCAGGCACGUGCCACAGGCUGGCCCACAGAAGUCCGGAUUGUUCCACGGUGACCCGGGCCACGUGGGGACUUCACCGUGCGGCCCGUGGUGCCUGCCAGAGGGUGGGGGAUGGGCCCCAUUAGGAGGCUGACCUCCCCGCGGGGCUGUGUGUCCGGGGGUCUGGCGGCCUGGGACUUGUCAGGACAUCCCUCCUUGUCCCCCAGCUGCUAAGAGAGACGUGGCAGGCUCAGGGGCCUUUGUGGGCACGGAGGAAAGGGCUCACGGAGGAGUGCCCCCCAGCUCCACGCGGCACAAAAGCGGACCCCACGGAUGGUCUCCGGUGACCAGGGGCGUCCCCGGAGCCGGACGGGGGGGGCGCCGAUGGGAAUUCGGUGCAGGCCACUGCCGGGGACCCUGUGGGCCGUGGGCGCCUGACGGUGGGACAGCGUUUGCCGAGGUGGCCCAGCUGCCCGGGGUGGAGGGCGUUGUCUCGGCCACCGUGCCAUCGGCCCGGCUGCGCCCACUCUGCUCCAUCACCAAGCAGGUGUACCGUGUCCCCUUCAGGAACCCGCUGCUGCCCCUGGGGCCUCCUCCGCGGCCAGUGGGGGAGGGGGUCCAGCCGGAAGGGGCCCAGUUCACAGAUGGCCCUAUGUGGUCUCAGGCUGUGCCAGAGUCAGCGAGGGUCCCCACCUGUUGCCUGCUCCCCAGAGCCCCACGGGGCCUGUUACCCGUCCGCGGAGCCAGCGCCCUGUCUCCGGUCUGCUCCCGCCACGGCCCGCACGGCCCCCAGGGUCUGCGGGCCCCGAAAAGCCUCCAGCAACACCACACGAGAUCCUCGAAAGCCCAUUCAAAGCUCAUGGUAAUUACUUCCAGGGGGUUUAUAGCCCCAAAGAGUCUCGCAGCCACGCCCCGCCGUCCAGGAAGGCGAUAUUUCACCAUCAAGGACGCGACCCUGGGUAUUUACAGACGGUAAUGAGACUGUCCACUGCUCGAUGUUGCCAUAAAUAAGCAGGAAAGUGCUGAGUUUCACGCAAUUCUCCCUGAUUGCCUGGAAGGCGUCAUUAUUUUAAUAAAAAAACUAAUCAGCCAGC